RNAcentral lists this ribosomal RNA (466 nucleotides) under uncultured bacterium. Its description in RNAcentral is "bacterial SSU rRNA". It matches the Rfam family "Bacterial small subunit ribosomal RNA", at positions 338 to 795 of the family's 1533-position model. The record is from RNAcentral.
CCUACGGGGGGGCAGCAGUAGGGAAUCUUCCGCAAUGGACGAAAGUCUGACGGAGCAACGCCGCGUGAGCGAAGAAGGUCUUCGGAUCGUAAAGCUCUGUUGUUAGGGAAGAACAAGGACGGGAGGAAAUGACCGUACCUUGACGGUACCUGACGAGGAAGCCACGGCUAAAUAGGUGCCAGCAGCCGCGGUAAUACGUAGGGGGUAAGCGUUGUCCGGAAUUAUUGGGCUUAAAGCGCGCGCAGGCGGCCUUUUAAGUCUGAUGUGAAAUCUUGCGGCUCAACCGCAAGCGGUCAUUGGAAACUAGGAGACUUGAGUGCAGAAGAGGACAGCGGAGUUCCAGGUGUAGCGGUGAAAUGCGUAGUAAUGUGGAGGAACACCAGAUGCGAAGGCGGCUUUCUGGUCUGUAACUGGCGCUGAGGCGCGAAAGCAUGAGGGGCAAACAGGAUAAGAUACCAGAGUAGUC